CGCGACCUCAGGCUGACUCAUG
Molecule: microRNA, 22 nt
Filed under: Mus musculus (house mouse)
Lineage: Eukaryota; Metazoa; Chordata; Mammalia; Rodentia; Muridae
Description: mmu-miR-6406
Source: miRBase by way of RNAcentral